GAAAAUAGAAGGAAAACACACUGGCUCGCUUGGGAUAAACUAACCAGACCAAAAGGAGAGGGCGGUAUGGGUUUUCACGAUCUUAGACUGUUUAAUCAAGUUCUCAUUGCAAAGCAGGCUUGGCGGAUUUUGGUGUUCCUAGAGUCAUUAGUUGCAAGGGUGUUGAAGGCCAAGUAUUACCCCCAUGGACAUCUACUGGACACUGUGUUUCUGCAGUCGACAUCGGUUACAUGGCAAGGUAUUAUGCAUGGUUUGGAUUUUUUUUAUUUGGAGAGUGGUCGAUGGAACAAAUAUUAA
RNAcentral lists this ribosomal RNA (297 nucleotides) under Triticum aestivum (bread wheat). RNAcentral describes it as "partial small subunit ribosomal RNA". Lineage: Eukaryota; Viridiplantae; Streptophyta; Magnoliopsida; Poales; Poaceae. The record is from RNAcentral.